GCUUUAUAAAUAAUUUAAAUUUAAUUAAUUUAAUGAUUAAAGGUUAAGUUUACACUAUUUUAUUUUGUUGGGGUGAUAUGAGUAUAAGUGUUGUUAACUGCUUAAAAAAAAUUCUAUUAUUAAAGAAUUAAUAAAAUGGAUGAUCCUUUGUAAAGAUUAAAAGACUAAGUU
This 171-nucleotide ribosomal RNA is filed under the name Atergatis integerrimus. RNAcentral describes it as "partial 16S ribosomal RNA". Lineage: Eukaryota; Metazoa; Arthropoda; Malacostraca; Decapoda; Xanthidae. The record is from RNAcentral.